This 588-nucleotide ribosomal RNA is filed under the name Faucicola osloensis. Its description in RNAcentral is "bacterial SSU rRNA". It matches the Rfam family "Bacterial small subunit ribosomal RNA", at positions 109 to 698 of the family's 1533-position model. The record is from RNAcentral. Lineage: Bacteria; Pseudomonadati; Pseudomonadota; Gammaproteobacteria; Moraxellales; Moraxellaceae.
AGUAACAUUUAGGAAUCUGCCUAGUAGUGGGGGAUAGCUCGGGGAAACUCGAAUUAAUACCGCAUACGACCUACGGGUGAAAGGGGGCGCAAGCUCUUGCUAUUAGAUGAGCCUAAAUCAGAUUAGCUAGUUGGUGGGGUAAAGGCCCACCAAGGCGACGAUCUGUAACUGGUCUGAGAGGAUGAUCAGUCACACCGGAACUGAGACACGGUCCGGACUCCUACGGGAGGCAGCAGUGGGGAAUAUUGGACAAUGGGGGCAACCCUGAUCCAGCCAUGCCGCGUGUGUGAAGAAGGCCUUUUGGUUGUAAAGCACUUUAAGCAGGGAGGAGAGGCUAAUGGUUAAUACCCAUUAGAUUAGACGUUACCUGCAGAAUAAGCACCGGCUAACUCUGUGCCAGCAGCCGCGGUAAUACAGAGGGUGCGAGCGUUAAUCGGAAUUACUGGGCGUAAAGCGAGUGUAGGUGGCUCAUUAAGUCACAUGUGAAAUCCCCGGGCUUAACCUGGGAACUGCAUGUGAUACUGGUGGUGCUAGAAUAUGUGAGAGGGAAGUAGAAUUCCAGGUGUAGCGGUGAAAUGCGUAGAGAUC